This 158-nucleotide ribosomal RNA is filed under the name Manchomonas bermudensis. RNAcentral describes it as "Amastigomonas bermudensis 5.8S ribosomal RNA". It matches the Rfam family "5.8S ribosomal RNA". From Rfam's summary of the family: 5.8S ribosomal RNA (5.8S rRNA) is a component of the large subunit of the eukaryotic ribosome. It is transcribed by RNA polymerase I as part of the 45S precursor that also contains 18S and 28S rRNA. Lineage: Eukaryota; Apusomonadida; Apusomonadidae. The record is from RNAcentral.
CUUUUAACAACGGAUAUCUUGGUUCCCACAACGAUGAAGAGCGCAGCGAAAUGCGAUACGUAAUGUGAAUUGCAGGACUCAGUGAAUCAUCAAAUUCUUGAACGCAAAUGGCACUCUUGGGCCUUCUGGGUCCGGGAGUACAUCUGUUUGAGUGUCAG